CUCAAGUAUUUAUUUAUAGUUCAUAUUUAAUAUAGAACAAAUCCAAUUUUGGUGUUGACAUUGAGUCUUAGUAGAGUUUCUGGAAUGAAGCAGAUGAGGAAAAGUAGUUCAGAUUGAUUGAAUCUGAGCUUUGGGGAUUUCAAAUGCAUGCUUUUUUUUUUUCCUCUUUCAGAAUGUUAACAUUUCAAUUUUGGUGAAUAUCGGUUUUAAGUUUCCUAAUAAAAAUUUUAAGUGAACAUAUACAAAGUGUUACAUGUUAAAUGAACAGAUGCAAAAUGUUAUAAGUUACAUACCGAACCAGCGACCCGAUUGUUACCGCUAGUAGCUGCUGUAAGAGACUGGAGCGUACACUUGUAAAUUUCAGCCAUCAGAGCCAGAAGUAAUGGCAGUCCUACAUUUUCACCAACCAUGGAGCAAAUUCUUCCUCAGUCUCCAAUUCCAGCUUGCGUUCUGUGGUAGAUUUGGAGCCAGAAAAUUUCUUUUUGGGGCCUAUUUUGCAUCAACCAUAGAUGCCCCAAACAGAAGCUUCAUAGUUUGAAUGGACCUGAAGCAUUUGUGGAAAUUUUCUGGUGUGCCUGGGAGCAGUGGGAGAGCCCAAGUCUGGAGUGGUAGCCAAUUAUACUUUGUCACUUUGUGUGUACUUAAAACAUCCUAAAUGGCGCAGAAACAUGAAUAUAACUAUUGAUAUAUAGGUGCGUACUGAGUAUUCUAAGUAGCAGAUAGAUAUCAAAUUACUGUAUAAGCCCAGAAUCGCCUAGACAGCAGGUCUGCUAAUUCUCUGUUAUACAGACCAGUAGGUAGCCUUUACACGUUUUCGCAUUUCUUCUUUCAUAGUACCGAAGGGAGUGCUGUGGCUGGCAGGUGAAGUUAGUGGCCUUGUGCCCUUUAUCUUUUCUGUCUUCUCUUCUUUCCUCAUCUUCUGGGAUGCUGCUGGCUGUAUCUGUCUCAGACCUGUUGCUAUAUUGGAAUCAGAUCUGUGUAUGUUUGAAGAGGUUAUUUUAAGCACUUCAUUUUUACUCAGCCCUAGGAAGGGUCAAGUAUGAUGAAGACCCUCCCUGGGUAUUUGCUUUUGCAACAUUAAAAAAAAAAAAAAAGCCUCGGUGCUAAAAGUAUUUGAUGAUGCAUGCUCAACCACAAAAAUGUGCCACUGAAUUCACAGUAUUUCACUGAUAAAGGACUGCAUGUGCUUUGCUUUUGGAAAUGUAAAGAAAACCCAGAAAACAGGCACUCAUUACUCUCAUUACAAUAGUGAAUACAAGAACUUUACACACAAAAAUGAAGAGCGUAAGGGGGAAUACUUUUUCUAUGGAAAACUCAGCGCUUUUGAUAUUUAUUUUAGCAAGAAUAAUCAGAUGCUGAAAAUAAUUUCAGAGAGAGGGGGGAAAAUAUUUCAGAUAAUCUUUUCAUAUUUCUUCUCCAAAAAACUUACGCCAUGUCAGGUGUUUUUAAUAUUGGGGUUUGAAGGUGUCGUCGUCUUCUGCCAUUCUACUAUUACAUGUUAAAAUCCAAGAAGAAGAUAUUAUAGAAAACUAAGGUAAUUGCAGGGACAUAUUAAACCAAAGGGGUGAACAAAAGAAGUUUAAAGUUUGUAUCUAGAAAUGAAAAAUAAGAAUAAUUGGUAAGACUUUAUAGUGGGCAUUUUUCUUAAAAUACAUACCUCUAACCCAAACCCCAAAGGUUAAUUUAGAAGCACGAAUCAGGCAGGCGAGCCUCUUAACUCUUUUGUUAAAAGGAAAUGUAAUACUGUGUCAAAUCAAUCGUCGUUAGGAUCCUAGUGGAGUGUGUGUGUUCCGCGUGUGUGUUUCUGUAUGUAGAGGUGUGCUUGUGAUGAAAGACUGUUUUGAAUUGUUGCAUAAAGGAGUUUGAUUUUGUGAUUUUUUAAAAUGAAUAUUUAUUUGGAGACCUCUUAGGGUAAUUUAAAAGAUGUAUCAUUUCCUUGUGUUUGAUGAAAUCUAUUGUCAAUGUACUAAUAAACCUUGGUUUACAUCAUCUUGAAUACUUGAUCAUUGAAAAUUAAGGAAAAAAGUAAAAAAAAAAAA
Molecule: long non-coding RNA, 2039 nt
Organism: Equus caballus (horse)
Lineage: Eukaryota; Metazoa; Chordata; Mammalia; Perissodactyla; Equidae
Source: Ensembl